UGCGCAGGCGGACUAUUAAGUCAGUGGUGAAAUCUCUCGGCUCAACCGAGAAACUGCCAUUGAAACUGAUAGCCUUGAGUGUAGUUGUAGUAGGCGGAAUAUAGCAUGUAGCGGUGAAAUGCUUAGAUAUGCUAUAGAACACCGAUCGCGAAGGCAGCUUACUAAACUAUCACUGACGCUCAUGCACGAAGCGUGGGGAGCAAACAGGAUUAAAUACCCUGGUAGUCC
RNAcentral lists this ribosomal RNA (228 nucleotides) under uncultured bacterium. Its description in RNAcentral is "partial 16S ribosomal RNA". It matches the Rfam family "Bacterial small subunit ribosomal RNA", at positions 568 to 796 of the family's 1533-position model. The record is from RNAcentral.